This 76-nucleotide microRNA precursor is filed under the name Schistosoma margrebowiei. RNAcentral describes it as "mir-3492 microRNA precursor family". It matches the Rfam family "mir-3492 microRNA precursor family". The record is from Rfam by way of RNAcentral. Lineage: Eukaryota; Metazoa; Platyhelminthes; Trematoda; Strigeidida; Schistosomatidae.
AGUUUCCUGAAUCCGUGCCAAGAUUUCAUCAAACAUCAACCCUUGAAGGUUGACGAGACUCAGGAUAAAUGAAGCG